This 596-nucleotide unclassified non-coding RNA is filed under the name Hevea brasiliensis (rubber tree). The record is from RNAcentral. Lineage: Eukaryota; Viridiplantae; Streptophyta; Magnoliopsida; Malpighiales; Euphorbiaceae.
CUGAUUGAAUUAAAUUAAAUUUGUUUUUCAUCUCAGCCAAGAAUGUCAUCUAGAAGAUCGUUGUUUUACAAAGAAAUAAUAGGCAGAGUUCUUCGAGCUGAAAUGAAUUAUACAGAAGAUGGAUGCAGUAAACUGCAAAAAAUGAGACCAUCAUUUAUUAUGCAACAUUUUUGCAACAACAAAACUUCCUACAUUAUAGUUUCUCUGUUACCUUUCCUGGGUUCUCUGGUACUGAGACUUCCUUAAAAGCCUUGAUUCUGUCCUGGUUAUAAAAUCAUGAUGGCAUCUGAACAAUAUUUGGUUCUUUGGUGAUGCCAUGCCACUGACAAUUCGAAAUGAUAAAAAAUACGGAAGAGUUUUCCCUUGACAGACAUCACAAAAGUCUCAGCAUACACUUUGUUCUGGUUUAUGAACCAACACAAGUAGAUUUGGCCUUAAACAUUUCUCUGUGUGGUCUGUUCUCAAAGAUUGGAGAAUCAUAUGCUGUUUCUUGGUCAUAAUUUGAUGAAUUUCGUUUCUUUGAAUAACAAACGUCCUCAGGUUUCUUGUAUAUUCGGUUCCUGGUGUGAGGGUAGCCUUCAAAUAUAUAGUCGGAU